CGAAUUAGAGCUACAGGCCGAAACAGGACAUGGGCGCGGGGGCUGCUCACCAGGCCUCAUGGGCCGGCUCGGUGGGGAGAAGGCCAGGCAGGGGCGCUGGGCCUUGGAGGCUGCUGGCCCAGGCGCUGCAGGCGCGGUCAACGAAGGGGCGAGGCGGUCGUCGCUCGAUCCCGAACUGCGCACGAAGCAGGGGAAGGAGAGGCUGGGCUCUGUCCUUGGCGCGGGCGGGACAGUAAGCAGGGCGAGGCGGUGCUGCUUGAUCCCAGGAUCGACGAGAUGGGGACUGCAGGUGGCGGACGGCGGCGGGGAACAACGGGAUGGGCGCGGGGAGGCGCCUGGUUCCAGAUCCGGCUAGGGGAGGUGCGGAUCGGAUCUCCGAGCUGGGGGGGAACGAGCUACAAGGCCAUGGCUGCAACUGUUGCCUGAAGAAAAAAGACAGAGAAGAAAUCAGAGGGGAAACGCGGACGGGAAGAAGGGAGAGAUGACAGGGAGAUGGCAGGGGCACGACGGCCUGAGGCGAACCUGCUGGUCGCCAGCAGGAGUAGGCAACGCUGGAAACGGCGGGGAGGUCUACAGGGUAGAGGUCGUCGAGCUCGGAAGGGGUAGCGCCCAUGGCCUCCUGGUGUUCCUACUGGAGCUGCUCGCCUGCGGGACGACGGCAAGGGCGGAGCAAGGCGAGGGCGUGGGCGACGAGGGACUGAAGCUGGAGGUCCAACGGGGCGGCACACGAAGUCAACCGAGGAGGCUGUCCAUGGAGGCGCUGCGAAGACAACAGAGAGAGCGAGAGCAGCGUGAGAGAGAGAGAAACAGAAGCAGGAGGGAAAAGGGAGCAAGGCUCUCGGGGCACUCAUCUGCUGGUUGGAUUGGCCGACGACGGGGCUGUCGAGGCGCAGGCAUGGGAGCUGCUGCUCCGACGGUGAUGGACGGGAGGGGUGGCUCGGGAGGAGAGGUGGAGGUUGAUUGGGUGGAUCGGGCAGCGGAGAUCCCGAGGGGGAUUCAGCUAGCGGUGGCGUGAGACCGGAGGGAUGGGACAUCUCCCUAGAUUUUAGGGUUAGUCUAGAUUAGGUAUGAGGUUGGGCUAUAAAUAGACAAAGGGGGGAAAUUUGGGUCAACCGAUCGGGAUCAGACGGUCGAGAAAGAAUAGACUAGGGGAGUCCAAAAGAGAAAACGAAGAUAUUUUGUAGAUGUUAGGGGAUGAUCCGGACUCAUUGGUCAUGACCGCUCAGGUGGGGUUCAGGGGAGUUUCGGACGCGCGCACGAGGGGGCUGCGAGCUGGCAAGAGAGGCUAGGUGGUCACGGUCAAGAGGGAAGCGAAACCCUAAUUGGUCUGGAACGGCCAAAAAAAGGAAGGGGGGACACGGCAACUACGAGCGGAUACAAGUUUUAUGAAAACGAUGUCGAUGCAAUGCGAAUGAGAUGAGAUGCAUGACAUGAAUAAAAUGCAAAACAAAAGACAAAAAUCCAACCACGAAGGAAAUAUCAUAUCGCAUCUCUGGAAAAUGCAAGAGUCGGAGUUACGAAUAUGGAAAGUUGUAUCCGGGGCGUUACAACACUCCACCACUACGAGAGGAUCUCGUCCCGAGAUCUAGGAUGGCACCGGAGAGAAACGGAAGAGGAAGAGAAUAGGUAAAACUAAGUUGCUUCUUCGACCAAUGAGUGAAACCACGAACCUUGAGAGGUUGAACAAAUUGAAAGAAACAAAACAAUGGAUAUGACCAAGAUUGCAAACAGUCCGUUAGAAAAGAGGAACAAGGAACAUUACGAGAACUUGAAGGUUGCAAAGACAUGAAUGACGAGCACAAUGGACAAGAAGGAAUUGAAACCACUCUGGUUGAAACGAGAUAAGAAUGAAUAAGAAUGAUAUAAUUUUGACAGCACUCCGACUGUAAAUGGAAGAAAUUGAACAUGAACUUGACAAGAUGAGAGGAUACUUGAUGAAAUCAACAACACACUGCCUCCGGAACUAUUGAAAAAAUGGCACAAGGGGUAAGAAAAUUUCAGAUAGCACUCCGGUUGUGAAGGGGGGCAAAACUUGAUAAGAAGAAAGAACUUGGAUAAGCAAGAAAAUAACAUGAUCUUGACAAAACGAGAUGAUGGGUCAACGAGAGCAACCUCACAAAGCCUCCGGAAGAAAGAAUAGAAGAUAGAUCAUUGGAAUAACAGAAUGGAGAAGGAAAUGCCAACUUCUGCCACAAAUGAGCUUGGAAAGCAUCCUUGCAAAGAAGAAUUGAACAGAGUUGUUGGAAAACCAACAACAAAAGGAUAUGAUCCUCGUGGGCUUAUGUAGACAUCUCAAAACUUGAGGUGAAAUUCUGCCACUACGGAACAAAUAAUAUAAUUGAUAACACCGACGAGAUGAAUUUUUUUUCCACCAAGAUGAUAGAGAGAUAACUUGAAUCAUUGAUAAGCACCACAAAAGCAACAAUCCUUAGGGAAGGCUUUAGGUGAAAUAUGACACAAGAUAACUCCAACAAUGAGGUUGAUGGAUUUAAAAUACCUCAUUCUUGACAACAUGUGAAUCACGAAACAUGAAUGGAAAUCGUCAAGAAUGAUAUAACACCAUCUCACAAGAUAAGGUAGGAAUACUUGCACUUCGGAUGCAAGAUGAAGAAUGCUUGAACUCCUCAAAACAAAACAUGUGUUGGGCACCAUGUUUAUUUAGAGUAUAGCUUGGCGGGUCAUAACUUCAUGAGAAAUGUUGAAGAACAAUAGAAGAAUGAAAAGAAUCCUUGAUGAACCACCAUGUAGAGCCUCAAUGAAGAACUCCGGUAAUAAAAGGAUGAUAAAAAGAAAGAGAAGUUGAAAAACACAAGGUGAAGCCUUGCAAUGAUUUAGAUGGAGCUUCGCGAUGAUAUAACCGAGAAAACUUGGAACUCCGGAAAAGGAAAAGAUGAAACACUAGAACCGAGAAUUACUUCAUAAUGAACAAUCUCUGGAAGAAAAGAAUUGAAUCACCUCGAGGAAAUAAGAAUAAGAUUUAUUGUAUGCUUAUCCUUCAUCAAAUUAAAUUGAUGACAAGCAAUGGAUUUGGCAUACUACUUAUUCCCGUAGAAAGGAUUUAGAGAGAUAUAGCGCAAACUUGAGAAGGUAUUGAUGGAACCACCGAUGGGAUUGGAAACAACGAAUGAAAUGAUAACGAAGGAAGUGAAAUCUUGAACGAACCACCGUAAGAAUUAAAAAUGAGAGUAGCAAAGGCACAAUUCACCGGGAAGAAUUGGAAAACGAAUGAAGAUACUUGAGGGGAUUUAGAUACAAGUGAACGAAGAGAUCAUGAGCUUAUUAGAGAAUACUUGAAUGAUGCACUGGUAGAAUAUGGAGAAGGAGAGUUAAAAGCUGAGAAUGAAUAAACCCGAAAUGAUGGCCUUCAUAGGAAUAAAAUGGAAAGAACUCACGAAAUGCCCUGGGUGGUAAGAAAAGAAUUGUCACAAUCAACAAUAAUUAUGAGGAUGGAAUGAAGCUAGAACCAUGAAUCUUGAAGAGAAUGGAGCAAGAUUUAAGAGAAAUCCUUCUUCGGUCUUCAAAUGUUGAGAAUGAUGAUGAGAACCACCAUGACAAUUGUUGAGGCACUCCGGAAUGAAAAUAGGAAAGGUUGAACCAGCGAUGAAAAGAAUUUGAAAGAUCUUGGAGAAAGACAUAUGACUGAUGAUAACCCAUUAUUAUGUCAAACUUUGAAAAGAAUUUUAGAAGCUCCGGGAAAAUUAGAAGAGUCAGGUAAGAUCCUGGGAAAAGACCUAUGGGUUAGGGCCCACUCAAGAGAAACACCGUUGAAACAAUUUUAAAGAGAGAUUGCACCGGUAGAAUAAAAUGACUAGAAUGAGAUAAUAAUCUCCAAAUAGCUUGAACGGAUUAAGAAUGGAAACACAAAUCUUCUGAGAUAUCUUCAACACUCUGGAACAAAUGAAUAGCAAGAGGUGAGUGAUUGAGAGGUGCACCGGCAUGAGAAAGCAUUAGAAACGAGGAAAUGAAUAUGAUGAAUAUCGAAAGCUUGAAUUAGAUCCACCGGAGAAGAAACAACAAUGAAGGAUGAUGAACUUGAAACUAUUGAGCAUCUUCAUGGGAAAUCACCAGAUAAGAACAUUGACGGAAAAGAAUGGAGAGUCUUCCCAUCAAUAAAAUGGAUACCCGAUUAAGAAAUCUGAGUCCUUGAAGAAAAGGGUGGGAGGGUGCGGAAAAACAAAGACAACUUGGGAUGAACAAAACAAACACCGUUGAGAAAACUUAGAAUUGAUCUUGCGGAUGGGGAGAAUGAUGGGAUCAUCUCGAAGAGAAGCGCACCGGUUGGAAAAAAAUUAACAUGACAACCUCAAUGAUCAAGAAGGAUCAGUAUUCACAUAGCAAUAUGAGAACACCGCUUGAAAGGUAUGAAAUCAACACUUGACAUUGAAGCAACUCGAAUACCACAACUCAAAACAAAACAAAGGAUUGGCUUGUUGAAUAAGCCAGAACAAAUACAUAGAUAGAGAUUUACCCAAUCCCAUAUCAUGCAUCUGUCGGAAAGAUAUUCUAGGAGCUACUUGAAUUCCCACCUAUAAAACUCCCGAAACUUUCUGGUUAUGCAAUCUGGUGUUGGGGAUACAGGGGAAGCAAUAUAUCUCACCCAAACUAACAAUCCCUACAUCCAGCUGUAUCCAUCCGUCAACACAUAACCAAGAAAACUUCGGAAAUCGUGUACCUCAGCCUUCAAAAAUCAUCUGUUAUAUGAGUUAUGGCAAUACUCCCGAACUCCCCAAUACUGGGUGACGUCGAGGUUAUCUCACCAACAACUGCAUAAAAGAGAUUUUCGAUGUCGGCAAAACUCAGGUAUUCCAGAACUGCAACGAUAAAAUUGUGACGACAACACCUCGGAGCUCAACUUCCCGGGUCAAUGCCACAUAAUAGACAGGAGGCACCAAGAACAAUGUUCUCGUCACAAGAAUAUCGGAACGAUCCCAAGAAACCCGUGUGAUCCUAAUUUUUUAGUGAAAUUUGUGGAGAGGAAAGACAAAACAUCUACGUCAGGAGUCCUCGCCAGAGCGACGAAGGGGGUUGAGGAGUAAAAAGAAUCCUACUCUCCGAUAUAAAUAUAAUCCUAAGACUCAAAACAGUUUUCUUCUAGACUCAACAACGACCAACAAUCAAGGGGGCUCCUAUGGUCGGUCGAGGCUCUGAUUACCAACUUGUCACGCCCAAUAUGCGAUACUAUCCUAAAGAGACUCGAAGGUCCCACCAAGCAUAGAACCGCAUAUUGAAACGCUUUUGCAAGGUGGAUAUAAUUACAUGAACAUUACAUAAUAGAUGGGGAUACAUACAAGAGGCAUACAAUGCCACACGAAUACAACAUCACAAUACAUAAGAGCAUCAUCUGACUACGGAUGAAACACAAACAGAAACUCAAACGACAUCCACCCUGCUAGCCCAGGCUGCCGACCUGGAACCUAUCCCCUGAUCGAAGAAGCAGAAGAAGAACUCAACGCAAGCAAGCAUCGCUCUCGCGUCAUGAUCAUCGCAUAACCUGUACCUGAAACUGUUGUUGUAGUAAUCUGUGAGCCACGAGGACUCAGCAAUCCCAUUACCAUGGGUAUCAAGACUAGCAAAGCUUAAAGGGAAAGGAAGGGGUAAAGUGGUGAGGUUGCAGCAGCGACUAAGCAUGAUAUGGUGGCUAACAUACGCAAAUAAGAGCGAGAAGAGAGCAAGCAGAACGGUCGUGAAGCUAGCAAUGAUCAAGAAGUGAUCCUGAACUCCUACUUACGUCAAUCAUAACCCAAAACCGUGUUCACUUCCCGGACUCCACCGAAAAGAGACCAUCACGGCUACACACGCGGUUGAUGCAUUUUAAUUCAGAUCUGGUGUCAAGUUAUCUACAACCGGACAUUAACAAAUUCCCAUCUGCCUAUAACCGCAGGCACGACUUUCGAAAGAUUAUACCCUGCAGGGGUGUCCCAACUUAGCCCAUGAUAAGCUCUCGCGAUCAACGAAGGAUAUAGCUUCUCCCAGGAAGACCUGAUCAGACUCGGAAUCCCGGUUUACAAGACAUUUCGACAAUGGUAAAACAAGACCAGCAAAGCCGCCCGAUGCGCCGACAAUCCCGAUAGGAGCUGCACAUAUCUUGUUGUCAGGGCAACACCGGAUGAGCAAUCCGUACAACUAAAACCAGACCUCAAGUUUCCCUGAGGAGGCGCUGCAAAGGGCUCUGGUUCGGACCAACACUCAGACAAGCACUGGCCCGGGGGGGGGGCUAAAAUAAAGAUGACCCUCGGGCUCCAGAAACCCAAGGGAAAAAAGGGGUAGGUGAGGCAAAUGGUAAAACCAAGGUUGGGCCUUGCUGGAAGAGUUUUAUUCAAAGCAAACUGUCAAGGGGGUCCCAUAAAUCACCCAACCGCGUAAGGAACGCAAAAUCCAGGAACAUAACACCGGUAUGACGGAAACUAGGGUGGCAAGAGUGGAACAAAACACCAGGCAUAAGGCCGAGUCUUCCACCCUUUACCAAGUAUAUAGAUGCAUUAGUAAUAUAAGAGAUAUUGUGAUAUCCCAACAAAAACAUGUCCACCAUGGAGCAAUCUUCAACUUCACCUGCAACUAGCAAUGCUAUAAGAGGGCUGAGCAAAGCGGUAACAUAGCCAAGCAAUGGUUUGCUAGGAAGGGUGUCAAAGGUUAGAGGCUGACAUGGCAAUUUGGGAGGCUUGAAGAGCAAAUGAUAGGUAGCGCAGCAUAGCGAUAGAACGAAGCAACUAGCAUAGCAAUGAUAGUACUGAGAUCCAGGGUAGCAGUCAUCUUGCCUGAAAUCCCGCUAGGAAGAAGAACGAGUCCAUGAAGAAGACAACCGGACAUAGUCGAACGAAUCCUCACAACUCCGGAACGAAACCGAAGCUACCGAGAGAAGCAAACCGGAAAGAAGCAAACAACAUGGUAAACCAACAAGCAUAAGCAUGGCAUGAUGCACAAUCAAGUAUGAUGCAUGUCCGUUUAACGAGGCAUGGCAUGGCAAAGUGCAACAAACAAUACUACAAGUUAAGUGGAGCUCAAUAUGCAACGAGUUGCAUAUUGACGAAACACCACAUCAAUUAUUUAGUUCUCUCUCGUUUAGGUACACAACAAUAUUAAAUGUUGUUAAACAUGGCAAGAGGUGGAACAAAAGUAAUCUAACUAUUUAGGCAAGUUUAAAUGAGGCCGGAACAACAAACAAUAAUUCCGGAAAAUCCCCAUAUGCAUAUUUUAGAUUCGGUACUUUUCUGCCCUAAACCAUAUUUUAAGGUUGUUAAACAGGAAAAUAAAGUGGACCAUGUUAAACUAGGCAUUUUUCACCCAAUUUACAUAUAAAGUUUAUUAAAAUUGGAGCUACGGUUAUUUAGUUAUGAAUUAAAGCAUUUUAGCAUGGCAUUUAUGCAAAUUAAUUCAAACAACACAUUUACACAAUUUUAACAUGGGUGAAAGUUGCAAAUUAUUAAUCUACACAAAAUUCUAAGCAUUUUACAUGUAUAAAUUAUUUACAAAAGAUGCAUGGUUUGUGAGUAAUUAUAUGCAUGAAGUUCAAGGGUUUUUCUGUAAAAUCUGUUACACACUGGAAUAAUGCUAAAUUCGCAGGACCAGGAAAAAAAAACAUAUCGGGCCGAAUUAGAGCUACAGGCCAAAACAGGACAUGGGCGCGGGGGCUGCUCACCAGGCCUCAUGGGCCGGCUCGGUGGGGAGAAGGCCAGGCAGGGGCGCUGGGCCUUGGAGGCUGCUGGCCCAGGCGCUGCAGGCGCGGUCAACGAAGGGGCGAGGCGGUCAUCGCUCGAUCCCGAACUGCACACGAAGCAGGGGAAGGAGAGGCCGGGCUCUGUCCUUGGCGCGGGCCGGACAGUAAGCAGGGCGAGGCGGCGCUGCUUGAUCCCAGGAUCGACGAGAUGGGGCCUGCAGGCGGCGGACGGCGGCGGGGAACAACGGGAUGGGCGCGGGGAGGCGCCUGGUUCCAGAUCCGGCUAGGGGAGGUGCGGAUCGGAUCUCCGAGCCGGGGGGGAACGAGCUACAAGGCC
This 7991-nucleotide long non-coding RNA is filed under the name Triticum aestivum (bread wheat). Its description in RNAcentral is "long non-coding RNA (TAES_LNC027701)". Lineage: Eukaryota; Viridiplantae; Streptophyta; Magnoliopsida; Poales; Poaceae. The record is from RNAcentral.